GACUGUGUAGCUCAGUUGGAAGAGCAUUGGGCUAGUAUUCCAAAGGUCGUAGGUUCGAAUCCCACCGUGGCCG
RNAcentral lists this transfer RNA (73 nucleotides) under Paramuricea clavata. It matches the Rfam family "tRNA". Rfam says of the family: Transfer RNA (tRNA) molecules are approximately 80 nucleotides in length. Lineage: Eukaryota; Metazoa; Cnidaria; Anthozoa; Malacalcyonacea; Plexauridae. The record is from Rfam by way of RNAcentral.